This 511-nucleotide ribosomal RNA is filed under the name uncultured bacterium. RNAcentral's name for it is "partial 16S ribosomal RNA". It matches the Rfam family "Bacterial small subunit ribosomal RNA", at positions 28 to 523 of the family's 1533-position model. The record is from RNAcentral.
GACGAACGCUGGCGGCGUGCCUAAUACAUGCAAGUAGAACGCUGAAGGAGGAGCUUACUUCUCUGGAUGAGUUGCGAACGGGUGAGUAACGCGUAGGUAACCUGCCUGGUAGCGGGGGAUAACUAUUGGAAACGAUAGCUAAUACCGCAUAAGAGUAGAUGUUGCAUGACAUUUACUUAAAAGGUGCAAUUGCACCACUACCAGAUGGACCAGCGUUGUAUUAGCUAGUUGGGGGGGUAACGGCUUACCAAGGAGAAGAUACAUAGCCGACCUGAGAGGGUGAUCCGCCACACUGGGACUGAAACACGGCCCAGACUCCUACGGGAGGCAGCAGUAGGGAAUCUUCGGCAAGGGACGGAAGUCUGACCGAGCAACGCCGCGUGAGUGGAGAAGGUUUUCGGAUCGUAAAGCUCUGUUGUAAGAGAAGAACGAGUGUGAGAGUGGAAAGUUCACACUGUGACGGUAUCUUACCAGAAAGGGACGGCUAACUACGUGCCAGCCGCCGCCGUAA